UGGGGAAUAUUGGACAAUGGGGGGAACCCUGAUCCAGCCAUGCCGCGUGUGUGAAGAAGGCCUUAUGGUUGUAAAGCACUUUAAGCGAGGAGGAGGGUACUGGUAUUAAUACUACCAGCUACUGGACGUUACUCGCAGAAUAAGCACCGGCUAACUCUGUGCCAGCAGCCGCGGUAAUACAGAGGGUGCGAGCGUUAAUCGGAUUUACUGGGCGUAAAGCGUGCGUAGGCGGCUAACUGAGUCGGAUGUGAAAUCCCCGAGCUUAACUUGGGAAUUGCAUUCGAUACUGGUUAGCUAGAGUGUGGGAGAGGAUGGUAGAAUUCCAGGUGUAGCGGUGAAAUGCGUAGAGAUCUGGAGGAAUACCGAUGGCGAAGGCAGCCAUCUGGCCUAACACUGACGCUGAGGUACGAAAGCAUGGGGAGCAAACAGG
RNAcentral lists this ribosomal RNA (430 nucleotides) under Pseudomonadota bacterium. RNAcentral describes it as "Proteobacteria bacterium partial 16S ribosomal RNA". It matches the Rfam family "Bacterial small subunit ribosomal RNA", at positions 355 to 776 of the family's 1533-position model. The record is from RNAcentral. Lineage: Bacteria; Pseudomonadati; Pseudomonadota.